AGAGAGAGACAUGCGCGCAUAUCAAUAAGCGGAGGAAAAGAAACUAACAUAGGAUUCCCCUCAGUAACGGCGAGUGAAGCGGGAAGAGCUCAAAUUUGAAAUCUUCAAGGUUCUACCUUGACGAAUUGUAGUUUAAAGAAGUGUUUUCGGUUAGAGGAGUUUAGGUAAAAGUUCUUUGGAAUAGGACAUCAUAGAGGGUGAGAAUCCCGUAUUUGACCAUUAUUUCCAGCUUUGUGAUACACUUUCAAAGAGUCGGAUUGUUUGGGAAUGCAGUCCAAAAUGGGUGGUAAAUUUCAUCUAAAGCUAAAUACUGGCGAGAGACCGAUAGCGAACAAGUACCGUGAGGGAAAGAUGAAAAGAACUUUGAAAAGAGAGUUAAACAGUACGUGAAAUUGUCAAAAGGGAAGCGUUUGACACCAGUGUUGUUUUCUCGAAAAUCAAUUAAAAAUGGCGGGAUUUUGUGUUGUAUUGACUUUAUCAGCUUUCUGCACUUUUUUUCCUGUCUUUUUUAAUGCACUUUUCGUUUAACAAGUCAACAUCAAUUUCUUUUGUUGUAAAAGGGUCAUUGGAAGGUGGCUUUCUUUUCGGAGAAAGUGUUUAUAGCCUUUGACUUCUGCAAUCGGAGAGAUUGAGGUCUGCAGCGUAGAUCCUUCGGGGUUAGAUACAUUUGUGCUAAGUUAUAGCCUUUCAUAGACAACUUGUUGACUAUGAUCAGUCAUGUAGCUUACUCGCUGAUGUCAUUUUACCUACGCUUAGGAUGUUGACAGCAGUAUAGACUGU
This 780-nucleotide ribosomal RNA is filed under the name uncultured Neocallimastigales. RNAcentral describes it as "partial large subunit ribosomal RNA". It matches the Rfam family "Eukaryotic large subunit ribosomal RNA", at positions 23 to 633 of the family's 3401-position model. Lineage: Eukaryota; Fungi; Neocallimastigomycota; Neocallimastigomycetes; Neocallimastigales. The record is from RNAcentral.